RNAcentral lists this ribosomal RNA (253 nucleotides) under uncultured bacterium. Its description in RNAcentral is "partial 16S ribosomal RNA". It matches the Rfam family "Bacterial small subunit ribosomal RNA", at positions 524 to 776 of the family's 1533-position model. The record is from RNAcentral.
UACGGAGGAUCCGAGCGUUAUCCGGAUUUAUUGGGUUUAAAGGGUGCGUAGGCGGCCUUGUAAGUCAGGGGUGAAAGACGGUAGCUUAACUAUCGCAGUGCCUUUGAUACUGCAGGGCUUGAAUGUACUUGAGGUAGGCGGAAUGUGACAAGUAGCGGUGAAAUGCAUAGAUAUGUCACAGAACACCAAUUGCGAAGGCAGCUCACUAAACUGUAACUGACGCUGAGGCACGAAAGCGUGGGGAGCAAACAGG